RNAcentral lists this unclassified non-coding RNA (349 nucleotides) under soil metagenome. RNAcentral's name for it is "partial contains 5.8S ribosomal RNA, internal transcribed spacer 2, and large subunit ribosomal RNA". The stretch from base 1 to 120 matches the Rfam family "5.8S ribosomal RNA", at positions 35 to 154 of the family's 154-position model. The record is from RNAcentral.
GAUGAAGAACGUAGUGAAAUGCGAUACGUAAUGUGAAUUGCAGAAUUCAGUGAAUCAUCGAGUCUUUGAACGCACAUUGCGCCCCCUGGUAUUCCGGGGGGCAUGCCUGUCCGAGCGUCAUUGCUGCCCUCAAGCACGGCUUGUGUGUUGGGCCUCCGCCCCCCGGCUCCCGGGGGGCGGGCCCGAAAGGCAGCGGCGGCGCCGCGUCCGGUCCUCGAGCGUAUGGGGCUUCGUCACCCGCUCCGUAGGCCCGGCCGGCGCCCGCCGGCGACCCCCCUCAAUCUUUCCAGGUUGACCUCGGAUCAGGUAGGGAUACCCGCUGAACUUAAGCAUAUCAAUAAGCGGAGGA